AUUGAACGCUGGCGGCAGGCCUAACACAUGCAAGUCGAACGAGUGGCGGACGGGUGAGUAAUGUCUGGGAAACUUCCCGAUGGAGGGGGAUAACUACUUGAAACGGUAGCUAAUACCUCAUACCAUCGGAUGUGCCCAGAUGGGAUUGGCUAGUAGGUGGGGUAACGGCUCACCUAGGCGACGAUACCUAGCUAGUCUGAGAGGAUGACCAGCCACACUGGAACUGAGACACGGGCCAGACUCCUACGGGAGGCAGCAGUGGGGAAUAUUGCACAAUGGGCGCAAGCCUGAUGCAGCCAUGCCGCGUGUAUGAAGAAGGCCUUCGGGUUGUAAAGUACUUUCAGCGGGGAGGCGUUACUCGCAGAAGAAGCACCGGCUAACUCCGUGCCAGCAGCCGCGGUAAUUC
This 406-nucleotide ribosomal RNA is filed under the name uncultured bacterium. RNAcentral's name for it is "partial 16S ribosomal RNA". It matches the Rfam family "Bacterial small subunit ribosomal RNA", at positions 30 to 526 of the family's 1533-position model. The record is from RNAcentral.